GACAGAGGUGCCGAGCGUUAGGCGGAAUCACUGGGCUUAAAGCGUGUGUAGGCGGGUCGUAAGUGUCUUGUGAAAUCCCCCGGCUCAACCGGGGAAUGGCUGGGCAUACUGGCGAUCUUGAGCAGUCUAGGGGCAGAUGGAACAAGUGGUGGAGCGGUGAAAUGCGUAGAUAUCACUUGGAACGCAACGGUGAAGACAGUCUGCUGGGGGACUUGCUGACGCUGAGACACGAAAGCCAGGGGGAGCGAAACGGGG
This 255-nucleotide ribosomal RNA is filed under the name uncultured bacterium. RNAcentral describes it as "partial 16S ribosomal RNA". It matches the Rfam family "Bacterial small subunit ribosomal RNA", at positions 524 to 778 of the family's 1533-position model. The record is from RNAcentral.